CUCUCCCAACCCGGGCUCCCGGUAAGCGCGGUCGCCGCUCCUCUGAGGGCUGCUCUUCCCUCGCUUCUGAGCCGAGGCCCCCGCGACACGAACGCCACGCCCGAAGCGCUCUUGCCAGGACGUACUGACCGAGGGUAGGCUGCCCAGCCGGGUGGUAACGUUGAGGAAAGGACAGCAGCUUCGCAAAGGAGCUGGGUAAAACCACGCCCAGACCCCGCUGGCCACCAGCCCGAGACCAAGACGCAGGCGGUGGCGCCGGUUUCUCACUCAACCGCAGGUUCCAGCAUCCCCGAUACGGCCGACGUCAUUACCCUGCGACCGCUCAGGACACUUCUGAGGACUCUUUUGACAGCUAGUAAUCGCGCGGUGGCGCGACCACGUGACUCCGGCGCCCUAGCCCCGCCCUCCGUCUCCAAGGAGCCCUGGAAGGAGCUAUACCAGCGGCUCCAGAAGGCGGGGAGAGGCGGGGCCGGACUCCGGGACAGCCAAUGGGCGAGGAGUGCCGCCCAGCCUGACCCACCGGCCGCUCCCUCACGAGCCUGUGGGCGUGCGCCGGCUGUGCAGGUGAGGGGCAGCGAGGGCGCCUAGUGGGCAGGGCGCCGGCGUUGCGCGUGCGUCAGUGUUCUUCCUUGUGCAGUUUAGAAUUUGAUACAUUUCUUUCCAGUCUAUUUCUAUAGAUUUGUUUUCAAAUCACAUCAGACCCUAUGUAAAAUAGUGUACCGUCUUUACUCAUUAUAACAUGGUGAGCAUUUCCCCAAGCUAUUACACAUAUUUUUAAACAUUGUUUUAAUGACCGGCAUAAUAAUCCAGUGCUUGGAUAUAUCAAAUUCUUCG
RNAcentral lists this long non-coding RNA (834 nucleotides) under Homo sapiens (human). RNAcentral describes it as "HSALNT0265730". Lineage: Eukaryota; Metazoa; Chordata; Mammalia; Primates; Hominidae. The record is from RNAcentral.